GACGAACCGUGCGAACGUUGUUCGGAAUCACUGGGCUUAAAGGGUGCGUAGGCGGGCUGUCAAGUCCGGGGUGAAAGCCCUCCGCUCAACGGGGGAAUGGCCUUGGAUACUGGCGGUCUGGAGGAAGGUAGGGGCGUGCGGAACUCUCGGUGGAGCGGUGAAAUGCGUAGAUAUCGGGAGGAACGCCGGUGGCGAAAGCGGCACGCUGGACCUUUUCUGACGCUGAGGCACGAAAGCGUGGGGAGCAAACAGG
RNAcentral lists this ribosomal RNA (253 nucleotides) under uncultured bacterium. RNAcentral's name for it is "partial 16S ribosomal RNA". It matches the Rfam family "Bacterial small subunit ribosomal RNA", at positions 524 to 776 of the family's 1533-position model. The record is from RNAcentral.